RNAcentral lists this unclassified non-coding RNA (514 nucleotides) under uncultured Ambispora. RNAcentral's name for it is "SSU rRNA". It matches the Rfam family "Eukaryotic small subunit ribosomal RNA", at positions 569 to 1085 of the family's 1831-position model. The record is from RNAcentral. Lineage: Eukaryota; Fungi; Glomeromycota; Glomeromycetes; Archaeosporales; Ambisporaceae.
AGCAGCCGCGGUAAUUCCAGCUCCAAUAGCGUAUAUUAAAGUUGUUGCAGUUAAAAAGCUCGUAGUUGAAUUUUGGGUCUGGCCGGGCGGUCCGCCCUCUGGGUGAGCACUGUUCCGACGCCGGGCCUAUCCUUCUGGUGAGUCGGCAUGUCCUUUAUUGGGUGUGCCGGGGAACCAGGACCAUUACCUUGAAAAAUUAGAGUGUUCAAAGCAGGCGUAUGCUCGGAUACAUUAGCAUGGAAUAAUGAAAUAGGACGCGUGGUGCUAUUUUGUUGGUUUCUAGAACCGCCGUAAUGAUUAAUAGGGAUAGUUGGGGGCAUUAGUAUUCAAUUGUCAGAGGUGAAAUUCUUGGAUUUAUUGAAGACUAACUUCUGCGAAAGCAUUUGCCAAGGAUGUUUUCAUUAAUCAAGAACGAAAGUUAGGGGAUCGAAGACGAUCAGAUACCGUCGUAGUCUUAACCAUAAACUAUGCCGACUAGGAAUCGGGCGAUGUUAUUCUCAUGACUCGCCCGGCG